ACAGAGGUUGCUUGGUUGCUUAGUAACUGCUGAAAUGGUUGUGCGAGAGUUUUGUAUAUAAAACAGAUAAAACCAUUAGUUUGGUUUUUAAGUACGUGUAAACAAAUGCUUUUUAUUUAUUUAACUGUGUUGAUUAGAGUAGCCUACCCGUCUGCAGAAAAUGCAAGAACCUCCAACAACCUUUGAAGAAUUUUUACAGUUUCAAAAGCUGACUGCCUGGCCCAUCACCCUUGAAGAAGAUCUACAAAUAACAGGAGAACUAGCAGUUUACAGAUCACCUAAUGCUAUUGCAGAUUAUCUCUGCAAAAAUGCACCCUUUCCAAUGGAGGUUAUCGAUUCUAUGGAGCAAAGGCUCAAUACAGUAUCCUCACAGUUAGAAGAUCAUGCUUCAAAAAUAUUGAUCUGUAAAACAAAACCCAAGAUCAAAGGCCAGCCAUCGGAGAGUUUUCUAAAAGGCAUUUCAGGUGCUCUAACUGGGUCUUGCCAACAGCUCAGAAAGAAAGCUACAGCUAUAACAAGAAAUACAAAUGUUAUGGUCUGCAGUUUCCCAGGUUUUGCUCCUCAUGAAUUAACUGAUCUGCCAGGCCAACUAGAUGCAGUACAGCUGUUAAACUGUAUUUCAGAAGCCCAGCAUUUUAAUGCUGCCUUUUUAAAGAUUUGGAAAACAUUCUUCCUGUCUGAAGCAUCUGUUGCAGUCUUUAAGGAUGGAUUUUGGUGGUACUUCCUUCAUAAGUUCAAGCCUAAUCAAGAAGAUCAGGACCUUCUGUUCAAUCGAAUUGCUGACAGCUUUGUGUCCCUUUUACUGACUGUGCAUUUAGAUGUAAAGGACAAGUUUUUUCAGGUAUAUGCUGAUUGUUUAGCUCAGGCCAUUUUCUCUGCAUUCUAUGAAGCAUUUUCAAUGUCCCACAAUCACUUUGGUGACGAUUUUAAAACUGAACUGACUGACCUGAUCUGCCUUUGGGUUUCAGGGAUAAAACCUUUGCCAUUUAUUUGGAAGAAAUGGAAUCUGAAGUGGUUAUACCAAUUAGUUGCCAGAGCUCGAGAGAUGGAAAAAGUGCCCACGACCAGAUCAAUCUCAAGUGGUUCAAUGGACUUCAACUUUGAGGAAUUAAUAAAAGAUACAAGGUAUAUACAGAUACUAGACACAACUUCAACAAUUACAACUGGAAGGAAGACAGAUGAUUUGUCAAAGAAAUCUAGAGAGUCUCAUUACAUUGGCCCAGGUCCAGAAUUUCAACAAGUGCUUUUCAAUCCUGGUGGUCGAAGCCCCCUAGUAGCCCACUAUCUUCAAAUGCAGGGCAUUGCUCACCCUGCAGCCUUCGCCAGACCUUAUAUAAAGAGGACAGAAAUCAGCAAAAUACUCACACCAUGCACACAAACUUACCAAGAUGCUAUUGGUAAGAACCGUAAGUUCCACAAGAAACGUCUACAGGAUUAUGUUAAGUUAUGUGAACAGACCCAGGAGGAGAUUUUGGAAAUACAAAAAGAAAGGAUUCGUAACAACUUGACUUUUAACAGGACGGAAAAAGCAAUUAUUAUGAACCCUGAUGAAGUAAAGAUCCAGAGCGAAUUGUUGGUUGAGAAAUGGGAACAUGCAACUUUGUCCAGUAGUCGGCAUCAGAGAAAGGAUGAGCGUGAGACCGAAGCAGAAGAAACCAAAAAAGCAGACAGUGAUUCUGAAGUUACUCCAGGCCCAGUGGAAGUAUAGAUUUACAAAAUCAGCCUGUGAUUGUCGUCUUGAUUCAGACAUUCCCCCCCAAGUCUGUCUGUAAUUAACUGUGGAAAGCAACUUUCAGCCAGUGGUGUCUACUUACAGACAGAUGUCCACCAGCUGAUCCAGUUCUGGGCAGCUGCACUCGUACAUGUCUCUGCAGCUCACAUGGCUUUGGUUCAUCAGUUCUCCCAGCAGCUGGACUGCUUUGGCAGGUGUCUGGUCACAAAUAUCUUUAAACUCAAGUACUCUUGCAGCUUCACUGUACACAUGUUUUGCACGCUGGUAGAGUUUAAAGGUGGUAACUAGAAUAAAAAUGAAACUGUUACUACAACA
RNA transcript from Acipenser ruthenus (sterlet), 2047 nucleotides. It is a transcript of the gene named protein FAM227B-like, with no coding region annotated. The record is from RefSeq and is a predicted model, not a curated record. The transcript has 18 exons. Lineage: Eukaryota; Metazoa; Chordata; Actinopteri; Acipenseriformes; Acipenseridae.